RNAcentral lists this ribosomal RNA (406 nucleotides) under uncultured bacterium. RNAcentral's name for it is "partial 16S ribosomal RNA". It matches the Rfam family "Bacterial small subunit ribosomal RNA", at positions 29 to 526 of the family's 1533-position model. The record is from RNAcentral.
AUUGAACGCUGGCGGCAGGCCUAACACAUGCAAGUCGAGCGAGAGGCGGACGGGUGAGUAUUGUCUGGGAGAAUGUCUGAGGGAGGGGGAGAACUACUGGAAACGGUAGCUAAUACCGCAUACCCUAAGAUGUGCCCAGAUGGGAUUAGCGAGUAGGUGGGGGAACGGCUCACCUAGGCGACGAGCCCUAGCUGGUCUGAGAGGAUGACCAGCCACACUGGAACUGAGACACGGUCCCGACUCCUACGGGAGGCAGCAGUGGGGAAUAUUGCACAAGGGGCGCAAGCCUGAUGCAGCCAUGCCGCGUGUGUGAAGAAGGCCUUCGGGUUGUAAAGCACUUUCAGCGAGGAGGCGUUACUCGCAGAAGAAGCACCGGCUAACUCCGUGCCAGCAGCCGCGGUAAUUC